This 465-nucleotide ribosomal RNA is filed under the name uncultured bacterium. RNAcentral's name for it is "partial 16S ribosomal RNA". It matches the Rfam family "Bacterial small subunit ribosomal RNA", at positions 28 to 507 of the family's 1533-position model. The record is from RNAcentral.
GACGAACGCUGGCGGCGUGCUUAACACAUGCAAGUCGAACGGAAAGGCCCCUUCGGGGUUACUCGAGUGGCGAACGGGUGAGUAACACGUGAGUAACCUGCCCUUGCCUUCGGGAUAACUUCAGGAAACUGGGGCUAAUACCGGAUAGGAAUCCUUGCUGCAUGGUGGGGGUUGGAAAGCUUCUGCGGUUUUGGAUGGACUCGCGGCUUAUCAGCUUGUUGGUGGGGUAGUGGCUUACCAAGGCUUUGACGGGUAGCCGGCCUGAGAGGGCGACCGGCCACAGUGGGACUGAGAUACGGCACAGACUCCUAAGGGAGGCAGAAGUGGGGAAGAUUGCACAAUGGGCGGAGGCCUGAUGCAGCAAGGCCGCGUGCGGGAUGACGGCCUUCGGGUUGUAAACCGCUUGCAGCAGGGGCGAAGCUUGUGGUGACGGUACCUGCAGAAGAAGCACCGGCUAACUACGUG